CUAGAAUUAGCGUCCGACUUUUGAACGGAUGGUAAUUACCGUCCGUUGUACAAGUUUACCGUCUAACUUGACGGACGGUAUUCAAUGGUUAUCAACAAAAAUCACGACCCACUUAUUUCCAACCCUAUCUCUAACUUCUUAUCUAUUUUUUUCUCUCUCACCAUUCUGCUUAUGUUUUAGUUGGCGGCACCUUACGAUCUCACUGAAGGCGAUCUUCUUGUUGUCUUUGCCCAAUAUGGCGAAAGUCCAAAGGUUUUGCAUUUGUGGCGUAUGAGGAUCAAAGAAGCACAACUCUAGCCCGCACUUUCUCUGAUUUGAAGGAGGUUCGAUCGAUUUCUGAGCCAAUGUCGCAGGUUUUCGUUUUAGGGUUAGUGAUUUUUUUGGGUUUUUUAUGUGGGUUGUUUCAGAUCUAGUUUUUUUUUUUUUGUUAAUUUCUCAAUUCUCCUUCAAAACCCCAUAUUUAUCCUCUCUUUUUUUCGAUUUUUGAUUUCGAAUCCUUAUUUUUUCGUAUGUUUUUUUAGUUUUCUCAUUGAAAAAGAAAACCGUCGUCAAUGUAGAGGAAUUGAACUUAUUGCGUCAGAAAAUUUCACAUCUUUUGCAGUAAUUCAAGCUUUAGGAAGUGCUUUAACCAACAAAUACUCAGAGGGUAUGCUCGGAAAUCAUUAUUUAAUGAACACAUUGAUCAAGAGCACUUGAAUGUUACAGAUUAAACCCAGAAAAAUGGGGUGUAAAUGUUCAACCUUAUUCUGGAAGUCCAGCAAAUUUUGCUGUAUAUACAGCAGUUUUAAACCCACAUGAUAGAAUUAUGGGGUUAGAUCUUCCAUUAGGUGGACAUUUAACUCAUGGGUAUAUUGAUUAUGAUAAGCUUGAGGAGAAAGCUUUGGACUUUAUGGGGUUAGAUCUUCCAUCAGGUGUUUCACAAAUCGGUGUAUACUUCUUACUAGGAAUGGCUUCAUGAUGAUGUGUUAUGUUUUAGGUGCUCAUUGAAACAAUAUUUCUGUGACUGAAGCAAUAAGAUUGCAUAAACUUGAGACUUUCUAGCCAAUAAUUAGUGUUAUUGGUUAUAGUUUAGCUUCUAUCAUGUCGCUAUUUGAUUAAGUAUAAUGAGUUAAGUUUGAAUGUUUAGCUGUUACAAAUUGUGGGUUUAAUUUUGAUUUUUGUUUUCUGCUUAACAUUCUAGAUGAAGCAUUGUGAAACAUGCCUUCAGGCAUAAGUUUAUAACUGUAUAUUUGACAUCUUGAUUACUCUCUAUUUGCAUUUUUGUUGGAGAGUUCAACACCUCAGAAAGCAUAUGGAAUUUUAUAGGUUAUUA
Beta vulgaris subsp. vulgaris (sugar beet) is the source of this 1312-nucleotide long non-coding RNA. RefSeq lists it as uncharacterized. The transcript is spliced from 2 exons. Lineage: Eukaryota; Viridiplantae; Streptophyta; Magnoliopsida; Caryophyllales; Amaranthaceae. The record is from RefSeq and is a predicted model, not a curated record.